UUGUUGGACACGUGCUGAUAGGAAAAGAAAACGGUGCUUUCCUCGACGAAGCAAACACGUCUUCUUCCUCGUUGGACCACUGAAGCUCAUCAUCGGUUUCCUCUUCUUCUACGUCGCUAACGACGUCAAUUUCGCAACUAGGUUCGUCCCUGAUUUCCGCAAAAGUGAGGAGGUCUUGGCGCUUGGCGGAGAAGUUGUUGUGCGACGGCACAGAGACGGCCUCGAGAACCAGUCGGCCGUUUUCAUCUCAAUCUCUCUCGCAUCGAAGAGAUAAAGGUUGCUUUUGGAGGUGUGGAGCAUGUUAGUCAGCAGCCUCCGCGUCAACCUGAGCAGACAGGAACCUCAAGUGCUCUUGCUCUCCCUGGUUAUUUUCCCAUAUGAAAAAGAGUUUGUUAGAGCAUCAGCAUUAGUGAACCCCAUCAAAGGGGUUCACAAAGUAUUUUUUUAUUAUUAUUUUUUUUCUGUUUGAUUUUUGUUUUUUUUUUAAAAAAAAAAAUUUAUUAAUCGGACCAAUCGCGGGCCGCCACGUGUCGUGGGGUCCGCGCUACAGUGAUGAUCCGGGUUCAGUGCAGUGAACUCCCAAGAGGUUCAUUGUUUUUGUUUAUUUUAAUAUAUUUUUUUUUCGAAAACUGCGUGAACUCCAUGGGGAGUUCACUGAUGCAUCAGAUGCUCUUAGAUAUUUUAACUGGGACAAUCCAGAGUUGGCUCCAUGUGGACUCAUAAACUGUGGAAACAUGUUUGUGCUGAUCUGGUUGAUUGAGUUGCUUUACUUGCUUAUGUUUCCUCCCCUUUGAAUAUGUAUUUCUUUUUUCAGUUGUUUAGCGAAUGUGAUUCUACAAUGCCUAUUAUGGACACGUCCUCUUGUUGCAUACCUACUAGAGAGAGGACACAUGAGUGAAUGUAGAAUUCUGUCUUUUGUUAAUCAAUGCUUCAAACUCGUUCGUUUGGUUUUC
Molecule: long non-coding RNA, 953 nt
Organism: Brassica napus (rape)
Lineage: Eukaryota; Viridiplantae; Streptophyta; Magnoliopsida; Brassicales; Brassicaceae
Exons: 3
Source: RefSeq, a predicted model, not a curated record